This 252-nucleotide ribosomal RNA is filed under the name uncultured bacterium. RNAcentral's name for it is "partial 16S ribosomal RNA". It matches the Rfam family "Bacterial small subunit ribosomal RNA", at positions 525 to 776 of the family's 1533-position model. The record is from RNAcentral.
ACGGAGGGUGCGAACGUUAAUCGGAAUUACUGGGCGUAAAGCGCGCGUAGGCGGUUUGUUAAGUGGGAUGUGAAAGCCCUGGGCUCAACCUGGGAACUGCAUUCCAAACUGGCAAACUAGAGUUCAGUAGAGGGAGGUGGAAUUUCCUGUGUAGCGGUGGAAUGCGUAGAUAUAGGAAGGAACACCAGUGGCGAAGGCGGCCUUCUGGACUGAAACUGACGCUCAAGUGCGAAAGCGUGGGGAGCAAACAGG